UUUCGUAGACCGGUUUAUUGGUCGUGUCUUUGUACGUACUGUAUUAUUGGUUUCUCCUUUCUGACGAAUCUUAAUGCCAUUAAUUUGGUGUUUUGGGAAUCAGGACUGUUACUUUGAAAAAUUAGAGUGUUUAAAGCAGGCUCACGCUUGAAUACAUUAGCAUGGAAUAACGAAAUAGGACGUUUGAUUUUAUUUUGUUGGUUUCUAGGAUCGACGUAAUGAUUAAUAGGGAUAGUUGGGGCAUUAGUAUCCAAUUGUCAGAGGUGAAAUUCUUGGAUUUAUUGAAGACUAACUACUGCGAAAGCAUUUGCCAAGGAUGUUUUCAUUAAUCAAGAACGAAAGUUAGGAGAUCGAAGACGAUCAGAUACCGUCGUAGUCUUAACCAUAAACUAUGCCGACUAGGGAUCGGAUGAUGUUAAUUUUUUUAAUGACUCAUUCGGCGCCUUACG
Molecule: ribosomal RNA, 449 nt
Filed under: uncultured Glomus
Lineage: Eukaryota; Fungi; Glomeromycota; Glomeromycetes; Glomerales; Glomeraceae
Description: SSU rRNA
Rfam family: Eukaryotic small subunit ribosomal RNA
Source: RNAcentral